This 414-nucleotide ribosomal RNA is filed under the name uncultured bacterium. Its description in RNAcentral is "bacterial SSU rRNA". It matches the Rfam family "Bacterial small subunit ribosomal RNA", at positions 94 to 507 of the family's 1533-position model. The record is from RNAcentral.
UGGGCGCGAAGGGUGCGUAACGCGUAAGUAACUUGCCCCAAGGUAAGGAAUAACGUCGAGAAAUCGGCGCUAAUACCUCAUAAUGCAGCGGAUCCGCAUGGAUAUGUUGUUAAAGGUUUACCGCCUUGGGAUAGGCUUGCGUCUGAUUAGCUAGUUGGUGUGGUAAUGGCACACCAAGGCUACGAUCAGUAACUGGUCUGAGAGGAUGAUCAGUCACACUGGAACUGAGACACGGUCCAGACUCCUACGGGAGGCAGCAGUGAGGAAUAUUGGGCAAUGCACGAAAGUGUGACCCAGCAACGCCGCGUGGAGGAUGAAGGUAUUCUAUAUCGUAAACUCCUGUGAGAGCAGACGAAAGACAGAUUAUUAAUUUGGAUGACUGUAUGCUCAGAGGAAGCCCCGGCUAACUACGUG